AUUGAACGCUGGCGGCAGGCCUAACACAUGCAAGUCGAGCGGAGCGGCGGACGGGUGAGUAAUGCCUAGGAAUCUGCCUGGUAGUGGGGGAUAACGUCCGGAAACGGGCGCUAAUACCGCAUACUAUCAGAUGAGCCUAGGUCGGAUUAGCUAGUUGGUAAGGUAACGGCUUACCAAGGCAACGAUGCAUAGCCGACCUGAGAGGGUGAUCGGCCACACUGGAACUGAGACACGGUCCAGACUCCUACGGGAGGCAGCAGUGGGGAAUAUUGCACAAUGGGCGCAAGCCUGAUGCAGCCAUGCCGCGUGUAUGAAGAAGGCCUUCGGGUUGUAAAGUACUUUCAGCGAGGAGGCGUUACUCGCAGAAGAAGCACCGGCUAACUCCGUGCCAGCAGCCGCGGUAAUAC
Molecule: ribosomal RNA, 407 nt
Filed under: uncultured bacterium
Lineage: Bacteria
Description: partial 16S ribosomal RNA
Rfam family: Bacterial small subunit ribosomal RNA
Source: RNAcentral